GCCUUCGUGGUGUAGUAGUCAGCACGCUAGACUCGUAUUCAAGAGGUUCGUGGUCCUAGUUCCGGCAAGGGCA
Molecule: transfer RNA, 73 nt
Filed under: Stegodyphus mimosarum
Lineage: Eukaryota; Metazoa; Arthropoda; Arachnida; Araneae; Eresidae
Rfam family: tRNA
About the family: Transfer RNA (tRNA) molecules are approximately 80 nucleotides in length.
Source: Rfam by way of RNAcentral